This 1522-nucleotide ribosomal RNA is filed under the name metagenome. RNAcentral's name for it is "bacterial SSU rRNA". It matches the Rfam family "Bacterial small subunit ribosomal RNA". The record is from RNAcentral.
AGAGUUUGAUCAUGGCUCAGAUUGAACGCUGGCGGCAGGCCUAACACAUGCAAGUCGAACGGUAACAGGAAGAAGCUUGCUUCUUUGCUGACGAGUGGCGGACGGGUGAGUAAUGUCUGGGAAACUGCCUGAUGGAGGGGGAUAACUACUGGAAACGGUAGCUAAUACCGCAUAACGUCGCAAGACCAAAGAGGGGGACCUUCGGGCCUCUUGCCAUCGGAUGUGCCCAGAUGGGAUUAGCUAGUAGGUGGGGUAACGGCUCACCUAGGCGACGAUCCCUAGCUGGUCUGAGAGGAUGACCAGCCACACUGGAACUGAGACACGGUCCAGACUCCUACGGGAGGCAGCAGUGGGGAAUAUUGCACAAUGGGCGCAAGCCUGAUGCAGCCAUGCCGCGUGUAUGAAGAAGGCCUUCGGGUUGUAAAGUACUUUCAGCGGGGAGGAAGGGAGUAAAGUUAAUACCUUUGCUCAUUGACGUUACCCGCAGAAGAAGCACCGGCUAACUCCGUGCCAGCAGCCGCGGUAAUACGGAGGGUGCAAGCGUUAAUCGGAAUUACUGGGCGUAAAGCGCACGCAGGCGGUUUGUUAAGUCAGAUGUGAAAUCCCCGGGCUCAACCUGGGAACUGCAUCUGAUACUGGCAAGCUUGAGUCUCGUAGAGGGGGGUAGAAUUCCAGGUGUAGCGGUGAAAUGCGUAGAGAUCUGGAGGAAUACCGGUGGCGAAGGCGGCCCCCUGGACGAAGACUGACGCUCAGGUGCGAAAGCAUGGGGAGCAAACAGGAUUAGAUACCCUGGUAGUCCACGCCGUAAACGAUGUCGACUUGGAGGUUGUGCCCUUGAGGCGUGGCUUCCGGAGCUAACGCGCUAAGUCGACCGCCUGGGGAGUACGGCCGCAAGGUUAAAACUCAAAUGAAUUGACGGGGGCCCGCACAAGCGGUGGAGCAUGUGGUUUAAUUCGAUGCAACGCGAAGAACCUUACCUGGUCUUGACAUCCACGGAAGUUUUCAGAGAUGAGAAUGUGCCUUCGGGAACCGUGAGACAGGUGCUGCAUGGCUGUCGUCAGCUCGUGUUGUGAAAUGUUGGGUUAAGUCCCGCAACGAGCGCAACCCUUAUCCUUUGUUGCCAGCGGUCCGGCCGGGAACUCAAAGGAGACUGCCAGUGAUAAACUGGAGGAAGGUGGGGAUGACGUCAAGUCAUCGUGGCCCUUACGACCAGGGCUACACACGUGCUACAAUGGCGCAUACAAAGAGAAGCGACCUCGCGAGAGCAAGCGGACCUCAUAAAGUGCGUCGUAGUCCGGAUUGGAGUCUGCAACUCGACUCCAUGAAGUCGGAAUCGCUAGUAAUCGUGGAUCAGAAUGCCAUGGUGAAUACGUUCCCGGGCCUUGUACACACCGCCCGUCACACCAUGGGAGUGGGUUGCAAAAGAAGUAGGUAGCUUAACCUUCGGGAGGGCGCUUACCACUUUGUGAUUCAUGACUGGGGUGAAGUCGUAACAAGGUAACCGUAGGGGAGCCUGCGGUUG